RNAcentral lists this ribosomal RNA (345 nucleotides) under uncultured bacterium. RNAcentral describes it as "bacterial SSU rRNA". It matches the Rfam family "Bacterial small subunit ribosomal RNA", at positions 29 to 390 of the family's 1533-position model. The record is from RNAcentral.
AUUGAACGCUGGCGGCGUGGCUAAAACAUGCAAGUCGAGGGAGAUCCCCGCAAGGGGUGAAACCGGCGGACGGGUGAGUAAUGCAUUCGAACGUGCCCCGAGGUGGGGGAUAGGUCGGGGAAACCUGGCGUAAUACCCCAUGAGCUCUUCGGAGGAAAGCCGCAAGGCGCCUUGGGAGCGGCGAAUGUCCUAUCAGGUAGUUGGCGGGGUAAAGCCCACCAAGCCUAUGACGGUAGCAGUGUGAGAGCACGGCCUGCCACAUCGGGACGUGAGACACUGCCCGGACCUCCUACCGGGAGGCUGCAGUAACGAAUAAUUCCGCAAUGCGCGAAAAGACGUGACGGA